GCCAGACUCCUACGGGAGGCAGCAGUGGGGGAUAUUGCACAAUGGGGGGAACCCUGAUGCAGCGACGCCGCGUGGGUGAAGGAGCGUUUCGGCACGUAAGGCCCUAUCGGCAGGGAAGAAGGAGGACGGUACCUGACUAAGAAGCCCCGGCUAACUACGUGCCAGCAGCCGCGGUAAUACGUGGGGGGCAAGCGUUAUCCGGAUUUACUGGGUGUAAAGGGGGCGCAGACGGCAGCGCAAGCCAGGAGUGAAAGCCCGGGGCCCAACCCCGGGACUGCUCUUGGAACUGCGCGGCUGGAGUGCGGGAGGGGCAGGCGGAAUUCCUGGUGUAGCGGUGAAAUGCGUAGAUAUCAGGAGGAACACCGGUGGCGAAGGCGGCCUGCUGGACUGCGACUGACGUUGAGGCCCGAAAGCGUGGGGAGCAAACAGGAUUAGAUACCCCUGUA
This 446-nucleotide ribosomal RNA is filed under the name uncultured bacterium. Its description in RNAcentral is "partial 16S ribosomal RNA". It matches the Rfam family "Bacterial small subunit ribosomal RNA", at positions 330 to 792 of the family's 1533-position model. The record is from RNAcentral.